This is a non-coding RNA of Pogona vitticeps (central bearded dragon), 490 nucleotides long. Lineage: Eukaryota; Metazoa; Chordata; Lepidosauria; Squamata; Agamidae. The record is from RefSeq and is a predicted model, not a curated record.
AGAAGAUUCAAAUGGUGACUGUAUCCCAGGCUCAUCUCUUGUAACAAAUCCAAUGCAAAUGCAAUGGAGCAAAAGCAGAGGUCAAGCCUGUUUCCUGAUCUUGCAUAGCUUUCCAGUCUGCAGCCAUUCUUGUCCAUACAAGGCCACAGAGCAGUACAAGCACAUUAAAGUCAGUUCCUUUGAAAGAAGGCAUUGGAUGAUAAGUUUACAUAUACCACUGGACCACCAGAAAGACAAAGAAAUGGGUUCUGGAUCAAAACAGAUAUGAAAACUCACUAGAAGCUUAAAUAGAUAAACCAAUGAAGGUAAUGGUAAAGGUAUUCUGCUGGACCAGGAUGCCAAGAGAGACCUCAUUCAAGAAGACUUGACCAUCCCAAAGGCAUGGAAGAAAGAAUACACUGUACCUUACCCUAUAGUGAACCCUAUAGUAAGACUGCAGGCAAAAGGCUCAUUGAGAAGAUGCCACACUGCAGCAUCUUCCUUCACAAUG